This 303-nucleotide ribosomal RNA is filed under the name uncultured bacterium. RNAcentral describes it as "bacterial SSU rRNA". It matches the Rfam family "Bacterial small subunit ribosomal RNA", at positions 355 to 673 of the family's 1533-position model. The record is from RNAcentral.
UGGGGAAUAUUGGGCAAUGGGCGCAAGCCUGACCCAGCGACGCCGCGUGAGGGAAGACGGUCUUCGGAUUGUAAACCUCUUUCAGCAGGGAAGACAAAAGGACGGUACCUGCAGAAGAAGCCACGGCUAACUACGUGCCAGCAGCCGCGGUAAUACGUAGGUGGCAAGCGUUAUCCGGAAUUACUGGGUGUAAAGGGUGUGUAGGCGGGGCUGCAAGUCAGAUGUGAAAAUUAUGGGCUCAACCCAUAACCUGCGUCUGAAACUGUAGCUCUUGAGAGUGGGAGAGGUAAACGGAAUUCCCGG